This 435-nucleotide ribosomal RNA is filed under the name uncultured bacterium. RNAcentral describes it as "bacterial LSU rRNA". It matches the Rfam family "Bacterial large subunit ribosomal RNA", at positions 744 to 1173 of the family's 2925-position model. The record is from RNAcentral.
GUUGAAGGUGCCGUAACAGGUACUGGAGGACCGAACCCACUAGUGUUGCAAAACUAGGGGGAUGAGCUGUGGAUAGGGGUGAAAGGCUAAACAAACUUGGAAAUAGCUGGUUCUCUCCGAAAACUAUUUAGGUAGUGCCUCACGUAUCACUCUCGGGGGUAGAGCACUGUCAUGGCUAGGGGGUCAUCGCGACUUACCAAACCAUAGCAAACUCCGAAUACCGAGAAGUGCGAGCGUGGGAGACAGACAUCGGGUGCUAACGUCCGGUGUCAAGAGGGAAACAACCCAGACCGCCAGCUAAGGUCCCAAAUGACGUGCUAAGUGGUAAACGAAGUGGGAAGGCAUAGACAGCCAGGAUGUUGGCUUAGAAGCCAGCCCACCCUUUUAAAGAAAGCGUAAUAGCUCACUAGUCGAGUCGGCCUGCGCGGAAGAUGU